CUUAUAUGCGCUUUAUCCUUGCACAUCCCUCUUUGGCCGCCGUAUGCACCGGCGACCACCACCAGGAAGUAAGAUCAUUGCUCUCAACAUCAAACGAAAUCCAGUACUAGCCAGCCCCGUCUGUCUUACCAUCGUCUCACUGCCGAAAUUUUGCCUUCUUCACCAGACCUACCACCAGAUUCUUCCUAACAAGCGCCUAACAGGACAUUCUUUGAUUUGAACAUUUCUUUCUUGAGAAAUUUGUUGGUGCUGCUGCAAUAAACCUUGGAUUAUUAGUA
This is a long non-coding RNA of Impatiens glandulifera, 278 nucleotides long. RefSeq lists it as uncharacterized. The record is from RefSeq and is a predicted model, not a curated record. Lineage: Eukaryota; Viridiplantae; Streptophyta; Magnoliopsida; Ericales; Balsaminaceae. The transcript is spliced from 2 exons.